UGGGGAAUCUUGCGCAAUGGUCUAACGACUGACGCAGCGACGCCGCGUGUGGGAGGACGCCUUUCGGGGUGUAAACCACUGUUGCCCGGGACGAACAGCCUCUUUCGAGGGGCCUGACGGUACCGGGUGAGGAAGCACCGGCUAACUCCGUGCCAGCAGCCGCGGUAAUACGGAGGGUGCGAGCGUUGUCCGGAAUCAUUGGGCGUAAAGGGCGCGUAGGUGGCUUCUUAAGCGUGCGGUGAAAGCCUGGGGCUCAACCCCGGGUCGGCCGUGCGAACUGGGGGCUUGAGCACUGUAGAGGCAGGCGGAAUUCCGGGUGUAGCGGUGGAAUGCGUAGAGAUCCGGAAGAACACCGGUGGCGAAGGCGGCCUGCUGGGCUAUGGCUGACACUGAGGCGCGACAGCGUGGGGAGCAAACAGGAUUAGAUACC
RNAcentral lists this ribosomal RNA (430 nucleotides) under uncultured bacterium. RNAcentral's name for it is "bacterial SSU rRNA". It matches the Rfam family "Bacterial small subunit ribosomal RNA", at positions 355 to 786 of the family's 1533-position model. The record is from RNAcentral.